CAGAUCUACGGGGGGCAGCAGUGGGGAAUAUUGCACAAUGGGGGAAACCCUGAUGCAGCGACGCCGCGUGAGUGAAGAAGUAUCUCGGUACGUAAAGCUCUAUCAGCAGGGAAGAAAAAAAGUCUUUGGCUUUGGACGGUACCUGACUAAGAAGCCCCGGCUAACUACGUGCCAGCAGCCGCGGUAAUACGUAGGGGGCAAGCGUUAUCCGGAUUUACUGGGUGUAAAGGGAGCGUAGACGGUAUGGCAAGUCUGAAGUGAAAGCCCAGGGCUUAACCCUGGGACUGCUUUG
This 292-nucleotide ribosomal RNA is filed under the name uncultured bacterium. Its description in RNAcentral is "partial 16S ribosomal RNA". It matches the Rfam family "Bacterial small subunit ribosomal RNA", at positions 332 to 628 of the family's 1533-position model. The record is from RNAcentral.